This is a long non-coding RNA of Capra hircus (goat), 3697 nucleotides long. The record is from Ensembl. Lineage: Eukaryota; Metazoa; Chordata; Mammalia; Artiodactyla; Bovidae.
AUGCUGCGAGCCUUCUUCCCCCACUCCACGCCCGGGUACCAGCCGCUGCCCCGCCGCCCUGCUGCCACCCAGGCGGGCUCCAGGGGUACGCUGGUACACGAGGCUCAGCUGAGCUGCUCCUAUGUCUCUCCUGGAGGUCCCAGCUAUGGGAGCCCGCGCCCGGCUCACGCCAACAUGAAUGCCAACGCGGCCGCGGGGCUGGCGCCCGAGCACAUCCCCACGCCGGGGGCCGCCCUGUCCUGGCAGGCCGCCAUCGACGCGGCCCGGCAGGCCAAGCUGAUGGGCAGUGCUGGCAACGCGACCAUCUCCACGGUCAGCUCCACGCAGCGGAAGCGGCAGCAGUACGGAAAGCCCAAGAAGCAGGGCAGCGCGACGGCCACCCGCCCGCCCCGCGCCCUGCUCUGCCUGACCCUGAAGAACCCCAUCCGGAGGGCCUGCAUCAGCAUCGUCGAGUGGAAGCCAUUUGAAAUCAUUAUUUUACUGACUAUUUUUGCCAAUUGUGUGGCCUUAGCGAUCUAUAUUCCCUUCCCAGAGGACGACUCCAACGCCACGAAUUCCAACCUGCUUCAGGAAGCCAGUGUGCCCAGCGCUACUGCUCUAACACUCAGCGAACCUACAGAACGUCUCCAGCAGAACCUUAGUGAACAUGUUUGCUGUCAGCCUGUGUUAAGACCUUCAUUCUGCCCUCCCACGCUCUGCUCUGAAACACUGGCCCCAGAUGACGUUCAGGAGAAUAAAAGUGACGUGGCUGGUUUUAAUAUCGAAAACCCAACGUUAAUAAAUGCAGUUUGGAUGGCUGCUCCAGUCCACGAGUCAUUUUAUGAUUUUUUUUUUGUUUUUAGAAGACAGAUGAUGCUGCUGCCUCCAGAGGGUCUUUGUUCAGUCCUCAGCCUUGAAGCCAACAGAAUCAGGUUUGGGAUCAAGGCUCCUGCAGGUGACCCUGGGGAACUCUGAUGUAAGAGGAGCAUUUCCUCCCCAGGACUCCCGACAUGUGCAGUGAGCAUGAUGAGCGUGGAAACCAAGCCGUAGCUCCUGGAGUGAUGACCCAGGGUGGCUCUGGGGCCCUGAGCAGCUUUGGGGGCAGAAUGUCUCGUUUGUGGCCUCUCGGCUUCUACUGUGUCUCUGGGCAAGUGGGGAACCCCUGGACCUCAGUUUCCUGGCCUGUCAGUGCAGAUGCUUGUCCCAAGGUUGGUAAGAGACCAGCAUGAAAUGGAACACCCGCCCCCCACCCCGCCCCCUGACCACCAGCGUUCAUCACAUCUACAAGUCAUGGCUGCUUCUAGUCGUGUUGCAGCGUCUGGGCGAGGUCCGCGGGCCAAGAGCAGGCAGCCAAGCUGGAUAGGACGGAGACCCUGCGGUAUGGACAGGACAGCUUAGAACCCUCUGCGGGAACUGCCUUUGGAGUGCCCGGCUUGGGUCCAUCAGCCGGAGACCCCUGCCUGCAGUGGGGAACUGACUCCCAGGAGAUGCUGCACACAUGUUUCCCACACCUGUUCACCCAGAAGGGCUGUGGCGGGGAGAGGCCACAGCUGGGUGUGGGAUGCAGGGAUCCACUGGGCAGAGGUCCCACACGGCCCUCGGGGGGCAACUGCUGUAUUCCGGAGGUCCCAGAAGUCACAUUCAUCCCAAGGUUGCUCUCACCUCCUUGGGGUUUUAGCUCCUUCCUGGGCAACCCUGUUUCUAACUGCUGGGGUACCCCACCAUCUGUUUUUGAUCGUCCCUCUCCUCUCCUGCCAGCCACCCUCUCUGCCCCCUACACGCCCACCUCAUUUCCCAUCUUAGCAGAGGUGCCUGGGUAGGUUUGCAGGAAGCCUGGUUCUCUCUCAGGGGCUGUGUCCACUGCUGGCUGAGCUCAGCCCUGUGCCCCAUCUGUUCCUUGGCUACAGCCGCUGAACAUCUGUGUGAUGGUGGGGGCGGGAAGCCUGAUGGUGUCCGGAUGGGGGCCAGGGAGGACCCGGCCACGUGCUGACCUCUCCUAGCAGGAGACACCCACCAGAGAGGCCUCAGGAAAGUGAAAAAUGAGAUCACGUUACAAUUGAAAUGUUCUGAAAAGUGAUCUGUGAAGAAUUGGACACCCUUCUUUCAAACGGCUCGAUUACUCCCAGGAAUAGUGUCCAUCCACAGUGAGCACUAAAUUGCUGGGUCGGCUGGGAAAUGCUGCUGCUGCUGCAGAAUCAAUGCUAAUUGAAUCAUUAGGGCAUCAUCACCCAAGAGGCCAGCAGCCCAGGAUGCUACGUCCCGGCCCUGCUGGGUCUGGUCCUCAAAGGAGCAACAAGCCUGCCUGCCCCCCGACGGCACCUCUCUGGAGUCAGGUAGGCAGUGUGGAAAUUUCCUUCCACUGAAAAAUAAGACUUUUUGAAAUCCAUGCUACUGAAGAACCUUGACAAGCAAGAAGUCAGAGGAGAAUUUGCACUGCGUUUUGCAAAUCUUCGGGUGGGUUCCGUCCUAUGUGAGGAUGUAGCUGGAGCUUCACUGAAACAGCCAGCAUCCAUCAGAAGCUCUUGGUCUGAGUAGGGAACAUGAGGCAGGACCUGUGACAGGGGCUGCAGGCUGGACACCAAGGUCUGGCUGCAGCUGGCUGGGUGACUCCCCCGGGCGCACGGCAUUUGUAAGUUUCCAGUGGCUUCAUCUCACACUAGCAAGCCUGACUGCCCAGGGCAGGACUGAGGGGUUCCCACAUACCACAUGGUUCUCCUGUGUCUCCCUUGCCUGUCAAGCCUGAGCCACACCCAUGCAUGCACACCCAUGCACGCACACACAUACCCAUGCGUGAACACACAGAGACACGCGACUCCUCCCACUCAGUCCGCAGCUCUGCUCUGCGCCAGCCCCAGCCUCUGCUCCACGUCAUUUCUCUGCAGGACCUCCUCCUUGUCCCCCACGUCCACCUCCCCUCUCCAAGCCGUGUGCUCCCCCGGCCCCUCUCCCGUGGGCUGCCACCUGCACUGUUCUGCACUGGACCCCCCUCUGCGUGUCACCCCCUUGGCUCUGGUGGCCAGCCCAUUGGCAGGUACCCAGUGGAGACUUAUGGCAAAGGUUAGCCUGUGUGGCCCUCGCUGCCCCACCUGGCCCAUGUGUGUCCCUUCUUCCCACCCCAGCUUUCACCCACUGCCCCUGCCCUUGGCCCUUCCAGCUUGGCUGUGAUUGUCUGGGGGCUGGUGAGCAAAGCAGGUACAGAGUGUUUGGCCAGAAAAGAACCCGCGAGUACACCAUUAAUGGGUUGUACUUAUGGGCAGAAAUCCCACAAACAUCCCUCUUCUCUGUGGGCCCCUUGGCCCCCGUCCAGGGGAAGAAGGCUGUCAUCACGCCUCCGUCGUACAUGGAAACACUCAGGCCUGCUGCCUCACGUGCCCAGCCAUCUCUUCUGUCUUCUCCAUCAGUGGGACGGAGAGAAUCACCACGAGGGGACUUGGGCUAUGCUGUGUGUUUCCCUCUUUUUCCAAACACAGAGUCCCCGCUACCUGGGAUGUCUUGUUGUCAGGGUGACCCUUUGAAAAAGCUGAACGAUAGUGGGAAUGUCCGAGCGUGCAGGUAUGUGCCGUACAUGUGUGCACCCUGGCAUAUGUGCAUGCUUGUGCGUGCACGUCUGCGUGUGUGUGCAGACCUGCAUGGGGCACGCGGGUGUGCGCACACACAAGCCAGUGAGCGUGCGGGCAGGAGGGAGCUGGAGCGGGGGGAGAUAUGUAUGUGAUCAAUC